UCACAACCAUCUGGUUCUGUCUGCAUUCC
This 29-nucleotide non-coding RNA is filed under the name Mus musculus (house mouse). The record is from RNAcentral. Lineage: Eukaryota; Metazoa; Chordata; Mammalia; Rodentia; Muridae.